RNAcentral lists this non-coding RNA (25 nucleotides) under Bos taurus (domestic cattle). RNAcentral also lists the same sequence under 3 other names. The record is from RNAcentral. Lineage: Eukaryota; Metazoa; Chordata; Mammalia; Artiodactyla; Bovidae.
CUCGCCUGCCACGCGGGAGGCCCGG